Molecule: long non-coding RNA, 535 nt
Organism: Quercus robur (English oak)
Lineage: Eukaryota; Viridiplantae; Streptophyta; Magnoliopsida; Fagales; Fagaceae
Exons: 3
Source: RefSeq, a predicted model, not a curated record
CCAGUUCUAUUGUACAUGUAAAACCCAGAAGUGAUUAGUCUUUACUUAACUGAACUAAACUACCCUUAACUGUAUGUAACAGUGCUGACCUGACACCAAUCUUUUCGACUAAAAUCUUGUCAGGUGAUUGUGGAGGGUUAUAACAUGGGUUUGCCAAUUGAUCUUGUAAAGUUGGAUGGGACAUGGCGCCUGCAGUAUACUUCUGCCCCUGAUGUUCUCAUUCUUUCGAAGCUGCCGCUAGACUUCCUUUCUUUCAGAAAUCAUUAUACAUGAAGAGGCUUGAAGAAUGUUGAAAAUAACUUGCCUGCGGGCAGUUUUUAUGGAUCAUUAUCUGCCAGAAGAUGCCUUUUUUUUUUUUUUUUUUUUUUUUUUUUUUUUUAUAUUUUAAGCAUCUCAUGUCUAAAAUUUAUGUACAUUGGCUUAUUCUAUGUCUAGGUGUAUGUGAAAUAUCCAUCACUACGUUUGUUAUUUCCUUUAUCUCUGUGUUUUCCCCCAAAAACAUUGUUCUCUGCAAUUGGUUUCUGCAUGAAUGUGG